UAAUGUAUGCCUUUUAAAAUCUGUAUAUA
RNAcentral lists this non-coding RNA (29 nucleotides) under Mus musculus (house mouse). Lineage: Eukaryota; Metazoa; Chordata; Mammalia; Rodentia; Muridae. The record is from RNAcentral.